GAUGAAGAACUUAGCGAAAUGCGAUACUUGGUGUGAAUUGCAGAAUCCCGUGAACCAUCGAGUCUUUGAACGCAAGUUGCGCCCGAAGCCAUUAGGCCGAGGGCACGCCUGCCUGGGCGUCACACGUCGUUGCCCCCCCAUCUACUCCUUCGGGAUUGCGGGGGGCGGAUGAUGGCCUCCCGUGCGCCUCGCCGCGCGGUUGGCAUAAAUGCCAAGUCCUCGGCGACGCACGCCACGACAAUCGGUGGUUGCGAAACCUCGGUUGCCCGUCGUGUGCGGUCGUCGCGCAUCGAGGGCUCGAAAAAAUUGCCGGGUUCCGGCUCGGCUUUCAACGCGACCCCAGGUCAAGCGGGGUUACCCGCUGAAUUUAAGCAUAUCAAUAAGCGGAGGA
Molecule: unclassified non-coding RNA, 391 nt
Filed under: soil metagenome
Description: partial contains 5.8S ribosomal RNA, internal transcribed spacer 2, and large subunit ribosomal RNA
Rfam family: 5.8S ribosomal RNA (bases 1-122)
Source: RNAcentral